This 504-nucleotide ribosomal RNA is filed under the name uncultured bacterium. RNAcentral's name for it is "partial 16S ribosomal RNA". It matches the Rfam family "Bacterial small subunit ribosomal RNA", at positions 30 to 523 of the family's 1533-position model. The record is from RNAcentral.
AUUGAACGCUGGCGGCAGGCCUAACACAUGUAAGUCGAACGGUAGCACAGAGAGCUUGCUCUCGGGUGACGAGUGGCGGACGGGUGAGUAACGUCUGGGAAACUGCCCGAUGGAGGGGGAUAACUACUGGAAACGGUAGUUAAUACCGCAUAACGUCGCAAGACCAAAGUGGGGGACCUUCGGGCCUCACACCAUCGGAUGUGCCCAGAUGGGAUUAGCUAGUAGGUGGGGUAAUGGCUCACCUAGGCGACGAUCCCUAGCUGGUCUGAGAGGAUGACCAGCCACACUGGAACUGUGACACGGUCCAGACUCCUACGGGAGGCAGCAGUGGGGAAUAUUGCACAAUGGGCGCAAGCCUGAUGCAGCCAUGCCGCGUGUAUGAAGAAGGCCUUCGGGUUGUAAAGUACUUUCAGCGGGGAGGAAGGCGGUGAAGUUAAUAACUUCACCGAUUGACGUUACCCGCAGAAGAAGCACCGGCUAACUCCGUGCCAGCAGCCGCCGCGG